RNAcentral lists this ribosomal RNA (375 nucleotides) under uncultured organism. RNAcentral's name for it is "partial 16S ribosomal RNA". It matches the Rfam family "Bacterial small subunit ribosomal RNA", at positions 526 to 897 of the family's 1533-position model. The record is from RNAcentral.
GUAAGGGGGCGAGCGUUGUUCGGAUUUACUGGGCGUAAAGGGUGUCUAGGCGGCACGUCAAGUCGGAAGUGAAAUCCCACGGGCUUACCCGUGGAAUUGCUUUCGAAACUGGCGAGCUUGAGUACGGGAGAGGAGAGCGGAAUUCCCGGUGUAGCGGUGGAAUGCGUAGAUAUCGGGAGGAACACCAGUGGCGAAGGCGGCUUUCUGGUCUGUAACUGACGCUGAGGCGCGAAAGCGUGGGGAGCAAACAGGAUUAGAUACCCUGGUAGUCCACGCCGUAAACGAUGAGUGCUAAGUGUUAGGGGGUUUCCGCCCCUUAGUGCUGCAGCUAACGCAUUAAGCACUCCGCCUGGGGAGUACGGCCGCAAAGGCUGA